GACGAACGCUGGCGGCGUGCCUAAUACAUGCAAGUUGAGCGCUGAAGGUUGGUACUUGUACCAACUGGAUGAGCAGCGAACGGGUGAGUAACGCGUGGGGAAUCUGCCUUUGAGCGGGGGACAACAUUUGGAAACGAAUGCUAAUACCGCAUAAAAACUUUAAACACAAGUUUUAAGUUUGAAAGAUGCAAUUGCAUCACUCAAAGAUGAUCCCGCGUUGUAUUAGCUAGUUGGUGGGGUAAAGGCUCACCAAGGCGAUGAUACAUAGCCGACCUGAGAGGGUGAUCGGCCACAUUGGGACUGAGACACGGCCCAAACUCCUACGGGAGGAAGCAGUAGGGAAGCUUCGGCAAUGGACGAAAGUCUGACCGAGCAACGCCGCGUGAGUGAAGAAGGGUUUCGGAUCGUAAAACUCUGUUGGUAGAGAAGAACGUUGGUGAGAGUGGAAAGCUCAUCAAGUGACGGUAACUACCCAGAAAGGGACGGCUAACUACGUG
Molecule: ribosomal RNA, 497 nt
Filed under: uncultured bacterium
Lineage: Bacteria
Description: partial 16S ribosomal RNA
Rfam family: Bacterial small subunit ribosomal RNA
Source: RNAcentral